GAUGAACGCUAGCUACAGGCUUAACACAUGCAAGUCGAGGGGCAGCAUGAACUUAGCUUGCUAAGUUUGAUGGCGACCGGCGCACGGGUGAGUAACACGUAUCCAACCUUCCGUUUACUCAGGGAUAGCCUUUCGAAAGAAAGAUUAAUACCUGAUAGUAUGGUGAGAUUGCAUGAUAACACCAUUAAAGAUUUAUUGGUAAACGAUGGGGAUGCGUUCCAUUAGGUAGUAGGCGGGGUAACGGCCCACCUAGCCUGCGAUGGAUAGGGGUUCUGAGAGGAAGGUCCCCCCACAUUGGAACUGAGACACGGUCCAAACUCCUACGGGAGGCAGCAGUGAGGAAUAUUGGUCAAUGGGCGAGAGCCUGAACCAGCCAAGUAGCGUGAAGGAUGAAGGUCCUACGGGAUUGUAAACUUCUUUUAUACGGGAAUAAAGUUUCCUAACGUGUAGGAUUUUGUAUGUACCGUAUGAAUAAGCAUCGGCUAACUCCGUGCCAGCAGCCGCGGU
RNAcentral lists this ribosomal RNA (507 nucleotides) under uncultured bacterium. RNAcentral describes it as "bacterial SSU rRNA". It matches the Rfam family "Bacterial small subunit ribosomal RNA", at positions 28 to 521 of the family's 1533-position model. The record is from RNAcentral.